Non-coding RNA from Callithrix jacchus (white-tufted-ear marmoset), 152 nucleotides. Lineage: Eukaryota; Metazoa; Chordata; Mammalia; Primates; Cebidae. The record is from Rfam.
GAGGACGACUGGGCGGCACCUGUGCGCCCCAACCCCUCACAGCUACAGAACUCUGCGUCACAGAAGUGCCAAGGCCUCAAACUCAGGAAGAGGGGAGGGGACUUGGGAUGUUCCCUCGGCAUAGAAAGGAGAAAGGGGGACUCUAAAAGGCC